GAUGAACGCUGGCGGCGUGCCUAAUACAUGCAAGUCGAGCGAACAGACGAGGGGCUUGCUUCUCUGAUGUUAGCGGCGGACGGGUGAGUAACACGUGGAUAACCUACCUAUAAGACUGGGAUAACUUCGGGAAACCGGAGCUAAUACCGGAUAAUAUAUUGAACCGCAUGGUUCAAUAGUGAAAGACAGUCUUGCUGUCACUUAUAGAUGGAUCCGCGCUGCAUUAGCUAGUUGGUAAGGUAACGGCUUACCAAGGCAACGAUGCAUAGCCGACCUGAGAGGGUGAUCGGCCACACUGGAACUGAGACACGGUCCAGACUCCUACGGGAGGCAGCAGUAGGGAAUCUUCCGCAAUGGGCGAAAGCUUGACGGAGCAACGCCGCGUGAGUGAUGAAGGUCUUCGGAUCGUAAAACUCUGUUAUUAGGGAAGAACAUAUGUGUAAGUAACUGUGCACAUCUUGACGGUACCUAAUCAGAAAGCCACGGCUAACUACGUG
Molecule: ribosomal RNA, 497 nt
Filed under: uncultured bacterium
Lineage: Bacteria
Description: partial 16S ribosomal RNA
Rfam family: Bacterial small subunit ribosomal RNA
Source: RNAcentral